Molecule: long non-coding RNA, 416 nt
Organism: Cyprinus carpio (common carp)
Lineage: Eukaryota; Metazoa; Chordata; Actinopteri; Cypriniformes; Cyprinidae
Exons: 3
Source: RefSeq, a predicted model, not a curated record
CUUGGUCCUAAUGCGAGUCGGAUUUCAAAGAGAAAUAAAACAGCUGAUCGUGGUCCUACACGCCGGAAAAAUGGGUUUCCUUGGGAAUUACCUAGAGGUGUGGCUGCUCACCCCCGUCCAUUCUCUGCUUCUCGGUAGUCCUCAAUAGCUAGACGGAGCUUCCUGCGGUGCAUGGGGCUGUUGAUGCCCAAACCCAGCUCCAGGUCCUCAUCGGUCAACCCCAGCAACACCUGCAGCAAGAAGCAGCUCACUGUGACAUCAUCACAUCACAUCACCGUGAGGCACGCAUGUACAUGGGCAUUGCCAUGACAACCUCCAACCAGGCCUGCACAGUGACCGCCCUCCACAGAGACAUGGGCUUGCUGCGUGUAAGCUCCGCCUGCUGCAGCCGCUCCAGCUGCUCCUCGCCAUCUGAU